UGGGGCAUGGUGUAAUGGUAGCACAUUGGAGUUUGGUUCCAGGAGUCCAGGUUCGAGUCCUGGUGCCCCAG
RNAcentral lists this transfer RNA (71 nucleotides) under Caulobacter phage CcrBL9. It matches the Rfam family "tRNA". From Rfam's summary of the family: Transfer RNA (tRNA) molecules are approximately 80 nucleotides in length. Their secondary structure includes four short double-helical elements and three loops (D, anti-codon, and T loops). Further hydrogen bonds mediate the characteristic L-shaped molecular structure. tRNAs have two regions of fundamental functional importance: the anti-codon, which is responsible for specific mRNA codon recognition, and the 3' end, to which the tRNAs corresponding amino acid is attached (by aminoacyl-tRNA synthetases). tRNAs cope with the degeneracy of the genetic code in two manners: having more than one tRNA (with a specific anti-codon) for a particular amino acid; and 'wobble' base-pairing, i.e. permitting non-standard base-pairing at the 3rd anti-codon position. The record is from Rfam by way of RNAcentral. Lineage: Duplodnaviria; Heunggongvirae; Uroviricota; Caudoviricetes; Jeanschmidtviridae.